RNAcentral lists this ribosomal RNA (253 nucleotides) under uncultured bacterium. RNAcentral describes it as "partial 16S ribosomal RNA". It matches the Rfam family "Bacterial small subunit ribosomal RNA", at positions 524 to 776 of the family's 1533-position model. The record is from RNAcentral.
UACGUAGGGGGCAAGCGUUGUCCGGAAUCAUUGGGCGUAAAGAGUGCGUAGGCGGUCCUGUAAGUUUGGUGUGAAAUCUCCCGGCUCAACUGGGAGGGUGCGCCGAAGACUGCAGGGCUUGAGUAUGGGAGAGGUAAGCGGAAUUCCUGGUGUAGCGGUGAAAUGCGUAGAUAUCAGGAGGAACACCUGUGGUGUAGACAGCUUACUGGACCAUAACUGACGCUGAGGCACGAAAGCGUGGGUAGCAAACAGG